UUCAGUAGAACUAAGUCACCAUUCUGGAU
This 29-nucleotide small RNA is filed under the name Bombyx mori (domestic silkworm). RNAcentral describes it as "ovarian small RNA-37034". Lineage: Eukaryota; Metazoa; Arthropoda; Insecta; Lepidoptera; Bombycidae. The record is from RNAcentral.